Molecule: long non-coding RNA, 2025 nt
Organism: Passer domesticus (house sparrow)
Lineage: Eukaryota; Metazoa; Chordata; Aves; Passeriformes; Passeridae
Exons: 3
Source: RefSeq, a predicted model, not a curated record
CCCAGGAGCACCGAGUUCCUGGGAACCCUGGGUGACCAGCCAGGGACAGGGCACUCCCUCCCCUCUGUCCCUCCACUACCCAGGCAGGAAAACAGACUGCAAGGGCAGGUUAAUAUGAAUGGACAUGCUGUGAAAAAUGGAUACUAAAUUAUGCCCUGAUCCAAUAAACCUCCCGGCCCACGUGCUCAGAAAAGCCUCGGUGAGUAGACAGGCCUCACGAGCUGCUCAGCAGCUCAAUAAAAUCUGUCUCUGACCUGCCAGAUUGAAAAGGGAAACAAAUGGCAGAAUUCGGGGCCUUCUCCUGAGGAGGCCUCUCUCCUGCUCUGUGUGACACCAGCUCCCUGUGACACCAGCUCUGUGUGACACCAGAUCUCUGCCUGCAGCAGGACCAUGAGCUUGAGAGAAUUCCCCUCCUUCCUCCUUGGCUUCCAGGUGCUGCCACAGAGAGGGAUUUCAUCCACACCCCAGAACUGCUCUGAGGCUCAGGAGCCAAGUGGCUGCAGCAGCAGGGAGCAGAUGCAGGGUCAGCCCCCUGCCCCACACCAUCCCUGCCACGCUGCUCAGCUGUCUGGAAGAGGUGGGAACACCUUUCCAGGACUGUGUUUGUCCUCACAAGGAACUACAGUCAAUGCUCUGCCUGGAGAAAGGGCUGGAUGCUGCUCUGCCAACACCAGUUUGUCCUGCUGCCUUUGGUGGGCCUGUGCACCUCUCACUUGGCUGUAGGAUGAUUCAUGAGCAUGCAGGUGUGUUGUAUCUGCACUCAGGCCGUGCUAAUCCUGUUUAGUCAUUUUUCAGAGGAUUUCAUUUAGAUACUGGGCUGGGGCUCUGCAUGCCCUUGACAAUACUGAGCAACACCAUUGCUCAUAUUUAAACUCACUGACAUAGCUAGUGAUGGUGAAAUUAAAAGAGACAAUGACAUAAAGCUCUCACCCAGCAGCGGUUUUCCUCCUGCCAAUCACCACUCUAGCAUUUCCCCUCCCUUGCUGAAAGCCAAGGAUAAGGGGCAGAUUUUGCAGCUUACCUGGAAGAGCAGCAGGUCUGAGCUCUUCUGGACUGCCCAGCCUGUUCAAGCUAAACCUACAGAGCACACAGGAGACCGGGCACCACCUGCAGUGCAAACCCCCAGCAAACCCCUCACAGAAUGCAACACAGGAACAGAUUGAAUGGAGAAUGAAGGAAAUGACUCCUGGAAACAAAGGCCAGGGCUGCACUACUGAUGAGAAAGCAAUGGAAAAUGCACAGCAGAGGCAAAGUGAGGGGCAUUGGUGCCUUGAUUCAUAGAGACCUGCUCCAAAGGCAGUGUGGAAUUCCCGGGGCAUCCAAGGAGUGUCUACCCACCCACAUCCUGCUGAAGGGGCAGGUCCCAGCUCUGGCUUUGGCUGUAGGUUAAACUCACACCUGUCUCUGCCCACAGGCAGAACUGAUGCAACACCUCAGCCAUGCGGGUACUCCCGUGCUAAUUGUCUUGCACCUCGUUCAAGCUCAGCCUCCAUUCUGUGGUGCCGUGUGUCACAGCACAGUAACUUCAGAAAUGUGUGCCACCGUGGCUGGAGAGGGCUGGCUCCCUGGAAAGAUGUGGGAGCUGUGUGCACUCCCGACCUAUUGCAAAGGCAAAGUGAAACAGGAAAGCAAUUUGGUAAGUCCACACUGAAUCUGACAAUCAUUUCAGGACAAUGGAGAAAGCAUUUUUCAAGGAGAAGAAUACUGACCGAAAAAAAAAAAUCCUCAUGAACAUAAUGACAAUAAAACAACUGGACAGACCCCACCACCCUGCUGCUUUAUAUGCAAUAGCUGUGGGACACGAAGUCUCUAUGGCUUUCAGGCAAUGAGGGAACUUAUCUGGCAAUGUGAAAUCUUGGCAGGCAAAAAACAUUUUGAGGGAGAAAUGAAAUGCUCUAGGAAUGGCAGAGGAAACCUGAACACUGGUGGGGCUGCUCUGAGUCCUGACACAGAAAACUGUGAGGAUCACACCUCUCUAUUUGCUAAGGUGUGACCCAAGUCCCUUGCUCUAAUUAGGGGAUGGAG